This 486-nucleotide unclassified non-coding RNA is filed under the name Hevea brasiliensis (rubber tree). The record is from RNAcentral. Lineage: Eukaryota; Viridiplantae; Streptophyta; Magnoliopsida; Malpighiales; Euphorbiaceae.
UAAAUACGUCUGCGCGUUCUAAGAGGGAGCGACGGGCUUGCUUCAAAGAAGGGUCAUAGUAGGCAUUAAAAUUGUCAAGGCCAACUACGCCGUUCCCACGGCGGCGCAAUGCCGCACAGACGUGGAUCCAGCAGCCCCAGUGACAAGAACUUUGAGGCCGCCUGCUCGAGACCUGGGCUUUCCCGAUUUGAUCACCCGGAUCUCCCAAUCGGGAUCGGCCAGAAAGCGGCGUUGGGAGGAGGAAGAAGAAGAAUGAGGGGAGUGUAGGAAGAAGAGGAGGAUAAGGCCAAGGAAAAUGCAGGUCCAGAAGACGAGUUUGGUGAUUGAAAAAUGGUAACGAAAGCGAUUAAUGUAUAAGGGUUUGUCCAUUUGGGAAUUUUGCAGAGAUGCAAACGUUGGAGAGUAAUGUAAUUUUGGUUUAAUCUUUUGGUUGCUCGCAGUUGGUGUUUUUGAUGCCUAUCUCAUUCCCCAGAAUAACAAAGAGCU